This is a long non-coding RNA of Mesocricetus auratus (golden hamster), 347 nucleotides long. RefSeq lists it as uncharacterized. The transcript is spliced from 2 exons. Lineage: Eukaryota; Metazoa; Chordata; Mammalia; Rodentia; Cricetidae. The record is from RefSeq and is a predicted model, not a curated record.
AGACACAGGAAAUGGGAGGAAUCUGGAUGCUAAAGCUCACUGACCCAUGUGGGGAUCAACUUCCCAAAACUGUCCUGCAACUAUUGCUUACCUGAAUAGACACCCCUGCUCCAUUGCUGCUUUUGGAUCUGACCUCCUUAUUCAACCCUUCCCACCUCCUGACAACCAAAGCAGAACAGAGAUCCACAUAGGCCCUCACAUGAGCAGUCAGAACCCUACCACAGCAUGGCUGAACUGUCUGGAGGGUCUCUGCUCUACUUUUGUCUUUGAAUGCUGACCAAGACAGAAAUCUCUGGAAUACUGUUCACCUCUCAUUCCCAUUAGGACAAUAAAUGGCUCCCCCAGAA